CUUGAAGAUUACAAGUCAAUGCAACAGAAGAGAGCCUCUAAGCACAAGCCACGCACUGUUGGGAAAGAAAACAGCUGGGUGAAGAUGUUGAAGAAUUACAUCACGGAUGCAACUAAACCAAUCUUGUUGAACCCGAGCAAAUGAAGUUGUCAUCAGCCUGCACACAGGACUGCCCUGCAAAGAGUUUACUACUGCUGCAAGAUGGAAUGGAUAGAGCUGGAGAUGUUACACAGGCCUUGUUGGUAUGCAGAUAAACAUCACUGACAUUGUGAACACAAGUUUCUGAAAACAGCUAUGGAAUGAACAAUGAGGUAAUCUGUUUUUGGUGAGUUUGAUCCGGGA
Long non-coding RNA from Rhincodon typus (whale shark), 342 nucleotides. RefSeq lists it as uncharacterized. The transcript has 4 exons. NCBI's taxonomy places the organism in Eukaryota, Metazoa, Chordata, Chondrichthyes, Orectolobiformes, Rhincodontidae. The record is from RefSeq and is a predicted model, not a curated record.